CCUACGGGAGGCAGCAGUGGGGAAUUUUGGACAAUGGGCGCAAGCCUGAUCCAGCCAUGCCGCGUGUGGGAAGAAGGCCUUCGGGUUGUAAACCACUUUUGUCAGGGAAGAAACGGCCUUUUCUAAUACAGGGGGCUAAUGACGGUACCUGAAGAAUAAGCACCGGCUAACUACGUGCCAGCAGCCGCGGUAAUACGUAGGGUGCAAGCGUUAAUCGGAAUUACUGGGCGUAAAGCGCACGCAGGCGGUUUGUUAAGUCAGAUGUGAAAUCCCCGGGCUCAACCUGGGAACUGCAUCUGAUACUGGCAAGCUUGAGUCUCGUAGAGGGGGGUAGAAUUCCAGGUGUAGCGGUGAAAUGCGUAGAGAUCUGGAGGAAUACCGGUGGCGAAGGCGGCCCCCUGGACGAAGACUGACGCUCAGGUGCGAAAGCGUGGGGAGCAAACAGGAUUAGAUACCCUGGUAGUCCACGCCCUAAACGAUGUCGACUAGUCGUUCGGGGCAGCAAUGCACUGAGUGACGCAGCUAACGCGUGAAGUCGACCGCCUGGGGAGUACGGCCGCAAGGUUAAAACUCAAAGGAAUUGACGG
RNAcentral lists this ribosomal RNA (587 nucleotides) under uncultured bacterium. RNAcentral describes it as "bacterial SSU rRNA". It matches the Rfam family "Bacterial small subunit ribosomal RNA", at positions 338 to 916 of the family's 1533-position model. The record is from RNAcentral.